RNAcentral lists this long non-coding RNA (3825 nucleotides) under Zea mays. RNAcentral describes it as "long non-coding RNA (ZMAY_LNC002009)". The record is from RNAcentral. Lineage: Eukaryota; Viridiplantae; Streptophyta; Magnoliopsida; Poales; Poaceae.
CAUAGUAGCAAAAGAUACUUUGUAGUUGCUGGUAUGAUAUUUAUUGAAUGGAGUGAUCAUGGAGUAUUGGUAGCAUCGCGGUCAUCCAAAUUACAGCUUAAACCAAGCUCCUUGCUUCUACAAUAGAGAAUUUGAGUUUUGUAAGACUAAAUGGUACAAAAUAAGAUAUUACUUUACUCGUAUGUAAGAAAAAAUGUGUUUUGGUGCUUAUUGACAAAUUGUAAGCAUGAUAGUGUGAUUUUUUAUUGGAGCAGUUUUUGGAAGUAUUAAUGCAUUAGAAAAAUAAUAGUUGUUUAGUAAGGAGGGACAAUAAGAUAUAUAGUUAUGUAAUAGAAGGAAAUCUGGUUUGCAAAAAAUAAUAAAUAACUGAUGUAUGUCUCUUAUGUGUUUCGUACUGCUUUAUUACUUCGUGUUGCUGUAUUCCAACGGUGAGCACAGGUAGAAGCAAAGGUAAAGUUCUAGAAAGUAUAUAAUCAAAACUCCACAUCAACCAUGAACAAAAAAUUAGCCGAUAAAUAUUCUUUUAUUUCUGGAUGAAAUCAUAUAACUGAUUAUUAAGAGCUAGACAUUCUCUUUACACAUAUUCACAAUGAAACUAAUAAUAAGAUGCAACCCUGACCCAUAAUUAAAUAAGCAAGAAACAUCGCAAGGUAAUUAUACCUGUGAUUCAUAUCAACCAUUAACUUACCAAGUUUUACCAUAAUUUACUGGAGCUACACUAUCACAAAUUUAGCACCCAUUUAUUUAGGUCAACAAUUAGGCCAUCAUAUGUGAUACAUAAGACAUGUUUUAGCGAAUAUCCAGGAUGGCACUAUUAAACAUCUCUCUAAACAAUAAAGCAAAGCGAACACAUCUAAGAACGAUUUAUAAUCUGGAAUGCAGAGUAUGCAACAUACUCAUGGAUUUAUGAACUGACGCAUACAAAUUAAAAUUUAUGAAUUUUUAAAAGUAUGGUAAUUCUAUGUUUAUAUUAAUGUAACUAUGGAUUCGCAUGGAAAAGCAUUGUUGUAGAGUGUUGUAAAUGCUUUUAUUGUUCUAGUAUUAUCUACUUUACUUUUUUAUUAGUACUUAGGUAAUUUAAAGAUGUUUGAUUGUUUUGAAUGGCAUUAGCUAGAGUUGGAGAAGCAAACCUUUUUGAAGGAGAUUCAACAGUAGCAAUUUUAGGAAUAGAGUCAACUAAACUGGUUGUUUCGUCUAUUAAGUAAAGAUGAAUGUAUGUAUCAAUGUUUUAUUUAGAUAAAUUCAUUUUAAUAGUAUCAUCUAAGCUUUUGUUAGAGAAUUACCUAUGGCGCUUUUUGUUCUAAGAAGUCAUCCUUUUUCGAAGCAGAGGUCUCUGAGCUAAGAUAUGUUAGCACCGGUUUGGCCUGUGUGUAGCAAUGGUAAUGUAUUAGAGUAAAGAAAGCAAAAAAUGGGAAAAUAUAAAAAAUAAGACUAAAAGCGGUUUUUUCAUCUAAAAUAUAACUAUGCACAUUAUACAUUACAUGAGGUGGUGAGCUAGUCGUCAGAUUUAAAAAAAUGAAUAAUCAUGCAAAGAAGAGAAACGUAAUAGUAGCAACAAUGGAGGAAAAUACAAAAAUCAGAGCACACCAUUAGAAAGGCAGAAAGGAAUGUGUAAUAAAAUGAACCUUGUUGGAGCAGCAUUUUCCCCCCAAGCAUAUAUGUAGAAGUUAAUGAAGCCCAUCUUUCCGAACCAAAGAUUAGGAUGUGCUGUCAAAUUUUAAAAUUAUAACAAAUUAGCAGAGAAUCAUAAUAAUUGAAUAUUGAUGCAAACAAUAACUAUAUAAUAGUACCACUAAUGGAGGAAAAAAUAGUAAGAUUGGAGCACACCGUUAUGAAAACUCAAAAAGGAAUGUGUAAUGAGAUGUACCUUGGUCAAUAGUUUUUUUCCUGUGGAAAUAUGUAGAAGCUGACAAAGCCCGUGUUUCCAAACCAAAGAUUAGUAUUUACUGUCAAAUAAAAAUUAACAAAAUAGUAAACAGUCAAUGCACUGACGUUUAUGUGCUAAACUAAUAAGGUACUAUAGAUACUAAAUGAUCGUCGUGUUUAGAGGUAAUGUAGCAAUUUAUGAACCAUUUUUUUUUAAAAAAUGAAUAGUCUUGCAAAGAAGAGAAACGUAAUAGUAGCAACAAUGGAGAAAAAUACUAAAAUCAGAGCACACCAUUAGAAAGGCAGAAAGGAAUGUGUAAUAAAAUGAACCUUGUUGGAGCAGCAUUUUUCCCCCAAGCAGAUAUGUAGAAGUUAAUGAAGCCCGUCUUUCCGAACCAAAGAUUAGGAUUUGCUGUCAAAUUUUAAAAUUAUAACAAAUUAGCAGAGAAUCAUAAUAAUUGAAUAUUGAUGCAAACAAUAACUAUAUAAUAGUACCACUAAUGGAGGAAAAAAUAGUAAGAUUGGAGCACACUGUUAUGAAAAGCCAAAAAGGAAUGUGUAAUGAGAUGUACCUUGGUUAAUUAGUUUUUUUCCUGUGGACAUAUGUAGAAGCUGACAAAGCCCGUGUUUCCAAACCAAACAUUAGUAUUUACUAUCAAAUAAAAAAUAACAAAACAGUAAACAGUCAAUGCACGGACGUUUAUGUGCUAAACUAAUAAGGUACUAUAGAUAGUAAAUGAACGUCGUGUUUAGAGGUAAUGUAGCAAUUUAUGAACCAUUUUUUUAAAAAAUGAAUAGUCAUGCAAAGAAGAGAAACGUAAUAGUAGCAACAAUGGAGAAAAAUACUAAAAUCAGAGCACACCAUUAGAAAGGCAGAAAGGAAUGUGUGAUAAAAUGAACCUUGUUGGAGCAACAUUUUCCCCCAAGCAGAUAUGUAGAAGUUAAUGAAGCCUGUCUUUUCGAACCAAAGAUUAGGAUUUGCUGUCAAAUUUUAAGAUUAUAACAAAUUAGCGGAGAAUCAUAAUAAUUGAAUAUUGAUGCAAACAAUAAAUAUAUAAUAGUACCACUAAUGGAGGAAAAAAUACUAAGAUUGGAGCACAGUGUUAUGAAAAGCCAAAAAGGAAUGUGUAAUGAGAUGUACCUUGGUCAAUCAGUUUUUUUCCUAUGGACAUAUGUAGAAGCUGACAAAGCCCGUGUUUCCAAACCAAAGAUUAGUAUUUGCUAUCAAAUAAAAAAUAAGAAAACAGUAAACAGUCAAUGCACGGACGUUUAUGUGCUAAACUAAUAAGGUACUAUAGAUACUAAAUGAACGUCGUGUUUAGAGGUAAUGUAGCAAACUUGUGAAAAUGUUUUAAGUAAAUGUACCAAACAAUAGAUAGUUAUAUAAAGAAGAAGCACACAUAUAAAUAGUUUUGCGAAGAACAAAUACAUAAUAGUACCACCACUGGAGAGAAAUAGUUAAAUUGGAGGACACUGUUAGGAAAAGGAAUGCGUAAUGAAAUAUACCUUGAUUAGGCAACCUUUUUUUCCCUGAGAAAAUAUGUAGAAGUUUAUGAAGCCCGUAUUUCCAAAACAAAGAUUAGAAUUUACUAGCAAAUUAAAAUGAAUGAAAAAGUAAGCAACGAAUGAUUCUAUGUUGAGGUACUAUGAACAUCUUGUUUACAGGAAAUGUAGUUACCACAUGUAUUGUUUAGAGUAACUAUAGCAAGCAUAGAUCUAUACACAACACGACACGAAAAAAAAUCGGUAUCACUACACACCAAAAGAUGCUCUCGGAUGAAAUAUAACUAAAGUUCAAGAGCCUGAGGAUGGUAUAACUAACUUAUUUGUGACCCACCGCCAUUAACAAUAUGGAAGCAGAGAAAGCUCCUACGCGACAGAUACUUGCGAUGAAAAUUUAUCAAGUGCGAGCAGUUGUACAGACCUCCGAUAGAGAUAAGGCAUCCGGCGAGGACACUC